AUAUUUUCAGUUUGAUUAUCAAAUUUUGUUUUUAUGAUCCUAGCUAGUAAUCUUUUUAGUUAUUAGUAUUGACUGAUAUACAACUUAUAAACUUGACCCCGCCACAUACAAAUAGUAAAAAAUAUACUGAAUGAUAAAAUACAAAUUGACAACUGGUUUUAAAUUUAUCCUAAUAUUAGCAUUUUAUAAAUAAGUAUUGAAUGAUAUUUACAUAUUCAGUUUUCAUGUGAAUUGAUAUGCAGCUUUUUCACGGUUUUGUAUUUUUCAGAAAUAUGACUAAUCCCCCAAAUACAUACAACAGUUAAACAUAUACCAAAUAAGAACAGAAGAAAACUUAUUUAAACUAAUUAAUCUCACUAGUUUUAUGAUACGGCGAUGAAUGAUAUAUCACUCAUAUUAUCCACGUUCACGUUCUAAAACAUGAUUCAGAAAUUUUUAUCAUUUAUAAUAUCCUCAAAUCUGUAUGUUUUAACGUUUUUGAAAAGUACUAGUAAUUUCACUAAAUCAAAAAGGGAAAUUUGAACGCAUAACAAUAGGAACACACGAAACAAAGAUUCUAACCAUUGCAUACUUUAGGCUACGAUAUAGUCGCUAUAUUUAUGUAUAAUGGCAAAAAUACCCAACAUGCGCGUGAAAAAACGUUGGAUCCACCACUUCUUCCAAUUUCACUUACCCCUGGCAACUGAACAAUGUCUUCUCCCGUUCUACACUCAAUAAAGCGAUAACGAAGACGGAUUUGGAGAAAGUUCACCUUUGUUUCACCUGUGAAACAAGGCGGACUAUUUGUCAUAUCGUUGUGGGUUAGAGCGUGAGGCAACACUACUUCAAAUUUUGGGUAGUAAGUGUCGUUGGUGGCUCCAAUUUAGAGGAGAAAAGGAGGACAUCACAGGAGGUUCUGAGAUACAUCAUGUAUUUUGUUGGAAGGUUCUCGAGCAUAUUAAAAUUGUAAUCUUGCGAAGCCGGGAAUACUGCCUUCGCAAUACUGCCUCCACUGCAUCCAUCUCAGGACCGAGAUUAACCAAUGGUGGUUGUCACCAUUUUCUUGGCCCAAACUUGGAUACACAAGUGAUACCAAAGAUAUGGAAAAAAGCCAUGGAAAUUUUCUUAAGCUCUAUUAUGUCUUAUAUUUUUUAUAAACCUUUUUCUCCUAUUCCUGUGAUCUACAAGUGUGUAUCUUAAUAUAUAAAGUUGACUUGUGUGA
Brassica napus (rape) is the source of this 1201-nucleotide long non-coding RNA. RefSeq lists it as uncharacterized. NCBI's taxonomy places the organism in Eukaryota, Viridiplantae, Streptophyta, Magnoliopsida, Brassicales, Brassicaceae. The record is from RefSeq and is a predicted model, not a curated record. The transcript has 2 exons.